RNAcentral lists this ribosomal RNA (484 nucleotides) under uncultured bacterium. RNAcentral's name for it is "partial 16S ribosomal RNA". It matches the Rfam family "Bacterial small subunit ribosomal RNA", at positions 29 to 507 of the family's 1533-position model. The record is from RNAcentral.
AUUGAACGCUGGCGGCAUGCUUUACACAUGCAAGUCGAACGGCAGCGCGGGCUUCGGCCUGGCGGCGAGUGGCGAACGGGUGAGCAAUGCAUCGGAACGUGCCCAGUAGUGGGGGAUAGCCCGGCGAAAGCCGGAUUAAUACCGCAUACGACCUGAGGGUGAAAGCGGGGGACCGAAAGGCCUCGCGCUAUUGGAGCGGCCGAUGUCGGAUUAGCUAGUUGGUGGGGUAAAGGCUUACCAAGGCGACGAUCCGUAGCUGGUCUGAGAAGACGACCAGCCACACUGGGACUGAGACACGGCCCAGACUCCUACGGGGGGCAGCAGUGGGGAAUUUUGGACAAAGGGGGCAACCCUGAUCCAGCCAUGCCGCGUGCGGGAAGAAGGCCUUCGGGUUGUAAACCGCUUUUGUUCGGGAAGAAAUCCUCUGGGCUAAUACCCCGGGGGGAUGACGGUACCGGAAGAAUAAGCACCGGCUAACUACGUG